CCUGCCCCACCACAACUAAGAGCAGGGGCAGCCCUGUCUGUUUUCCUGGCAGCGUGGGGGAGGGGAGGCACCGAGGCCUGUCGUCGGUUGAAUAACAGAGGGCACGAACUGCCAGCGCUGGCUGCCCGGAGGAGACCCUGGCAGGGAUGAGGCCAGCCUCGUAUUCAGACCCUGGUGGGGUGUGGCCACCCCUGGGAGCCUUGGGCAGCCCAGACAGAUCUGCAGUCACAGCCCCACCCCCGGCACACACGUUCAAAUUCACACUGAUGGCAUUCACACGAGGGGUGGCAUUGUGCCCCCUCGUCCGGGACAGCUGGGUGCUCCCUCCCCCCAGGCCACAAUGACUCACAUCCCUGCCCGCCAGGCGGCCGGCUUGGGCACACACAGCCUCCUUUCAGCCCCUCGGCCUCCAACACACUAGCUUAGUCUUCCCUGCCCGGCGCCUCCCCCUCCCCAGUGAGCAGCCUGCCCGCCCAGACGGGCAGCUCAGUGCCACGGAGAGGCCAGGCCAAGGCCUCCAUCCUCCCCGCAGCACACGGCUCCCUGUCUCUCGUCACCCGGCUCCUGGCCAAGCCCUGAAUGGCUGCCUUUUCACGCCCCCCCAGCCUGGCCAGAUGCAUCCUGAGCAGCCCUGCUCCCACCGCUGCGUGGGGAUCGGCCCCACCGCUGCGUGGGGAUCGGCCCCACUGCUGCCACCACGGAGGAGCCAGAAGGACCGUUGAGAUUCUGGCCGAGCCCCUGAGCCCCUGAGUCCCCGGAGUCCCUCCGGGCUCUUGGGUAAAGGCCUCCUCAUGUCGGCAAAGGCCCUUCGUCACAUGCAUGCUCCCCAUCGGCUUCCUCAGCAGCCCUAAGUAGCCUGGCCGGGCCCAGAUGUUUAUCAGUCCCAUUUUACUGAAGGACCAACUGAGGCCCCGAGAAGAGUCAGCUGCUGAUCCCGUCCAUUCCCAGGCUUCAACGGACACCUUCAAGAGAGGACUCUGUGUAGGUCUCUCGAGGCCUGACUUUCUCCAAAUUCCGCAACCUCCUUCUGGAACACCGCCCAUUGCUUCACUCGGGCGCUGGUGCCCUGCCCUGCCUCUCUGCAAAGGCCAGGAAUCCUUCCCGGAAGAUGGACAGCAACUUGCAGGCCAGGGCCGCUCUAUCUCCUGCCUCGGCACCUGCUCUGUGUGGCCGCAGGGGCCUUGAACUGACUGCAGCCCUCGGGCGAGCACACGGCCUCGAGAAGAGCGCAGGCUCCGAGACUCUGGCCUUGGUCGUGUGACCUGCUUGGGACAGUAGGAGAGCAGCACACAUGGUGCACGUAGAAACCUGAACAGCACUUGGGCUGGAUCUCUCUCACUGCCCCUCAACCACCGCGUGAAGGAGCUCAAGCUGGCUUGACAGACGGUGAACCUGGGACCCAGCCCACAGCCAAGAGCUGGACGUGAGUGUCCGACCUUGACCUUGACCUCUCUCUGACCACAGACAUACCUGUGUCCAGCCAAGCCCAAGAGAACAGCCCCUCUGAGCCCAGCCCCCAUCACCAGUCCACAUAAUUGUGAAGCUAAUAAAUUGUUGUUUUAAG
Phacochoerus africanus (Common warthog) is the source of this 1564-nucleotide long non-coding RNA. RefSeq lists it as uncharacterized. The transcript is spliced from 3 exons. Lineage: Eukaryota; Metazoa; Chordata; Mammalia; Artiodactyla; Suidae. The record is from RefSeq and is a predicted model, not a curated record.